GAGAAAGCGCGCUGCUGAAUCCCGCCGGCGCCGCAGCCUCCGGGCUCCCCGGGCCACGCCCCCAGCCCGCCCGGCCACGCCCCCAGCCCAGCUCUCCCUCGACGCCCGCGGACGGGCCAGCCUCCAACCCAAGCCACGCCCCCGGCCGGCCCUGACCACGCCCCCAGCGCGGGUCUCUGUCCACUCAGGCCACGCCCCCGACCAGGCUCUCCCUCCGCCACCCUCUCAGGCCGCGCCCCCCGCCCAGCGACCCCCAGCUAAGGCUGCCGUCGCCUACAGCCCGGCUGUCCCCACCAUCCUCCCGGCCAUUCCCAACCCCCCAACAGCAUCCCCCAUCCCCCAUCCGGAUCACCCACCCGGCCCUCCUACACUUCUCCCCCACCCCAGCUUUUCUUCCUCUCAGCUACACCCCCAGCCCGGCUCCUUUCCUACCACCCCCAGCGACGCCCCCAUAUCACUACCCCAGCCCCCCCAGCCUCGCCCAGGGCGGGAGGAGCCGCCGCGUCGCCGGGGCAACCGCCCCCCACCUCCCGUCCACUCGCCCCACCUCUGCCUGGGCGUGGAGCGAAGGCACCGUGGCUGCGCGCAUUUCCGAGCAAGGGAAACACUAGAGCCCCAGCAUACCCAGUAUGAACAUCCUGCAGCUCCCCUCUGCUGAAGGACCCCUCACCACAUCCACAGCAUAGACACUGCCUACCGCAGCAGGAGGCACCAGAAUCUGGGGGCCAUGACCCGGCUUCCGUUUCCAGAACUUUGGGACUUGAGCCUCUGCUGGGUCCUGUGACAGAUGAUGGCGUUUUGAACCCCUGUGAGAUAAGUGACCUAGACUCAAACCGUGGUCUCAGCGGCUUCUGGAUGAGCCCAACCGAAGAAGCAGUUUGUAAUCAGUCGAAGCCUGGGAACGGACUGCCAGCUGUCUCAGCAGCAAAAGGCCCCUGACUGACGAUGAAUCUACUAACAGGAUACUGAGAAGGGUGCAGUACCUUCUGUGGCAUUUCUGCCCAAAAUGCACACCCUCCGCCUAACGUGAGGAAACAUCAGAGAAAUCCAAAUUGAGGGGAUAACUGGCUGGUACCCUUUGAACGUGUCAAGGUCAUGAAAGACACAGAAAGACUGAAGAAGGGGAAUGGUUUGGAGCAAACACUUUAGUUUGACAACUGAAUGUAAUGCGGGGUGUUGGAUUGGAUCCUCAACCAGAAAGAGGACAUGAGUGGGAAAAAUGGUAAACUCUGAAUAAAGCCUGCAGGUUAGUAAAAACAGUGUUGAAUCAAUGUCAAUAUCCCGGUUUGGGUCAUCGUGCUGUGGUUGUGUUAGACGUUAACGUUAGGGAAGCUGUUGAAGGAUACACAGGAACUCUGUGCUAUUUUUACCACGUCUUUGUCAGUGUAAAAUUAGUUUAACAUAAAGGUUAAAAAAAGCAUCCCCUACAAAU
This is a long non-coding RNA of Leopardus geoffroyi (Geoffroy's cat), 1432 nucleotides long. RefSeq lists it as uncharacterized. The record is from RefSeq and is a predicted model, not a curated record. Lineage: Eukaryota; Metazoa; Chordata; Mammalia; Carnivora; Felidae. The transcript has 5 exons.